Molecule: long non-coding RNA, 1701 nt
Organism: Oreochromis aureus
Lineage: Eukaryota; Metazoa; Chordata; Actinopteri; Cichliformes; Cichlidae
Exons: 4
Source: RefSeq, a predicted model, not a curated record
CGGAGGGCACCUGAAGAGGAAUGGAGGAAGACAGCACUACUGUGGUAGAGGAGCGGUGUGUGUGCAGACAUGGCUGCUGUUGGUGAAGCGGACUGAACUUAGAGGAGAGACACAAACUAAAGUAUCAAUCCCAUCACGUCAGUGUGGACCUGAUACCAACGUCUGUAUCGCUUCUAUCGAUGCUUGUAUCAAUCCACCCAGCCUGAGUUGAAGCAGCAAUGAGUUCAGUUCAGUAUCUGAGAGAGUUCAUCAAGGAGAGACUAACUGCUGUUGGUGAAGAAAUCUUCUCAGAGGUUCAAAAAACCAUCGUAUGAGGAGGAGAUCUACCGUCAGCACAGACUGCUGGAUAUCAGCCGGAAACCCGACAGAAACUCACACAUCAUAGACCUCCCACAACAACAUGACUGUAAGGAAGAGGAGGGUCUGGAUGAGCAGCAGGUCUGUAACCAGGAGAGGAACUCCAGUCUGGACCAGGAGGACCCAGAGCCUCCACAGAUUAAAGAGGAACAGGAGGAGCUCUGCAGCAGUCAGGAGGGAGGGAGAGCAGCUUGGACUGAAGGAGGAGACUGAAGGCAUUAUCGUCUGGACUGAUGAAGAGCAGCUCAGAUUGAUGGAGACCAUCUGGAAACCUGUGAUAAAGUUACACAGAAUAUGUCCAACAGCAGCAUGCUUUUGAGGAAGAGGAGGUUUUUACCAACCAGGAGGUCUGUAACCAGGAGAGAAACUCCAGUCUGGACCAGGAGGACCCGGAGCCUCCACAGAUUAAAGAGGAACAGGAGGAACUCCGCAGCAAUCAGGAGGGAGUAGAGCUGGGCGAUAUAAGAUUUUUUCAUAUCACGCUCUAGGAGGGAGAGCAGCUUGGACUGAAGCAGGAGACUGAUACUUUCAUGGAGACUCCUGCUUACGGGGAAAGUGCCCGCAGUGAACCAGAACCAAACAGCGAGCAGCUGCUUUCUGACAGCUCUCCUGAAGCAGAGAGCCGAGAUCAUGAAGAAAAUCAGCAUGUGGACUCAGGAUCUAUUACAAAUGCAGAGCUGAAGAAAAGAUGUCACAGAAAGAGAAGUCACAGUCAAAGAGUAGACAACACUCCUGUGUCAGUGAGUCAAAGUAGAACGGACACAAAGAAUAAGUCUGUACAAUGUGACGUGUGUGGAAAAACUUUAAAGAAUAAAUACAAAAUGACUAGACAUCUAGGAAUUCACACAGGUGAGAAGCCGUAUUCCUGUAGCACCUGUGGAAAAAGAUUUGUUACCUCAUCAUCGUUCAAAACACACACGAGAACUCACACAGGUGAGAAACUAUUCUUGUAGCACCUGUGAGAAAAGACUUGUCCAGACGAUACAAUUAAAGAAUCACAUGAGAAUUCAUACUAGUUAAAAUGUUCAUACUUAUAAAAUGUGGGAAAACUGUGAGUCAUGGCUGAACAUCUGAGUGAAAAGAUGAUACAUAUUAAAGUCAGUAUUUUAGACCCAGAACAGUAAAGAAAUCUCAGCAUUGUUUGUUCUGUUUAUUACGUUAUUCUGUUAAUUGUAACAGGGAAACUCUUAUCUUACAUUUCACCAAGGUUAAAGUUCAGUGUGCUCCUGUUCUGCUGGUUCAUUGUUUAAUUUCAUGGAUUUAAGUGGUGUUCAUGUGUCUUUAAGGUUUAUUAAGAUUUUCAGAUUUUUUUUCCUUACAAAGAUGUAAUCUCAAAUGUGUAAA